RNAcentral lists this long non-coding RNA (622 nucleotides) under Setaria italica (foxtail millet). RNAcentral's name for it is "long non-coding RNA (SITA_LNC006673)". The record is from RNAcentral. Lineage: Eukaryota; Viridiplantae; Streptophyta; Magnoliopsida; Poales; Poaceae.
AGGAGUUGAUUGUGACUACAGCUUCAUCCGUUCUGCUUUGCAUCCUAGCCCUUGUUCUCUUACCUCCAAACUCCCAACUUUAACACUAUGCAAAAAGAAGAUUUCCCAUCACAUCAAACUUGCGGUACAUGCAUGGAGUACUAAAUGUAGACGAAAUCAAAAACUAUUUGCACAGUUUUGUUGUACUUUGCGAGACGAAUCUUUUGAGCCUAAUUAGUCAAUAUUUGGACAAUAAUUCACAAAUACAAACGAAACGCUACAGUGUUGCUACAGUAAUUUGGCACCUCCCAAAUUCGCGAAGUAAACAAGAGCCUAGCUUCGUACUACCGAUAGCAAUUGGUGCCGGACUUGAAAAGACAUGCUUGAUAAAUGACACCACCACCUCAGAUUUGAAAAAUUUUGCACGAACAGAUCAGGUGUUGCUAUCCAAUGAUUGGGGGAAGUGAAACAUGCUACGAGAGAGUCAGCUGCUAACAGGUUGUUCUACACUGUAAUACAAGGUAUAGAGAGACUUCAGUGACAUCUAGAUUUGCCCAUGUCUGUCGAUCAGGGCUCACGGGAUGGGUGUGUUAUCUAAUGUACCUAUACAGUUGCUUCGUGUUCACGACUCACGAGUUCUUAU